ACGGAGGAUCCAAGCGUUAUCCGGAAUCAUUGGGUUUAAAGGUCCGUAGGCGGUUUAAUAAGUCAGUGGUGAAAGCCCAUCGCUCAACGGUGGAACGGCCAUUGAUACUGUUAGACUUGAAUUAUUAGGAAGUAACUAGAAUAUGUAGUGUAGCGGUGAAAUGCUUAGAGAUUACAUGGAAUACCAAUUGCGAAGGCAGGUUACUACUAAUUGAUUGACGCUGAUGGACGAAAGCGUGGGUAGCGAACAGGAUUAGAUACCCUGGUAGUCCACGCCGUAAACGAUGGAUACUAGCUGUUGGGAGCAAUCUCAGUGGCUAAGCGAAAGUGAUAAGUAUCCCACCUGGGGAGUACGUUCGCAAGAAUG
This 366-nucleotide ribosomal RNA is filed under the name uncultured bacterium. Its description in RNAcentral is "bacterial SSU rRNA". It matches the Rfam family "Bacterial small subunit ribosomal RNA", at positions 525 to 896 of the family's 1533-position model. The record is from RNAcentral.